This is a non-coding RNA of Camellia sinensis, 2518 nucleotides long. The record is from RefSeq and is a predicted model, not a curated record. NCBI's taxonomy places the organism in Eukaryota, Viridiplantae, Streptophyta, Magnoliopsida, Ericales, Theaceae.
UAUGUGAGGUCGAUUUGAACCCUUCUUCCUUUGUGGAAUCUAUGGAAGGGUUGACGAGUGAUAUUAUCGCGAUGAAUGAAAUAGAGAAAAGGGUUGCAUCGUUGGGGUUAGCUUCGGUGGAGGUUUCACAGCGGGAUCCGUUUCGGCGAGUUACUCAGUCGAAGCCCUUUGAGGAGUUAAGAGAGGAGCUUAAUCGUAUGAAGGCUUCCAUGUUUGGUGUGGAUCGGGAGGAUCUGAUCCCGUGUGAUCUUAUCCAAGAGGAAACUUCAACCCUAACAUCUUCUGCCCUAAAUCUUCUCCAAUCUCGGUGGUCAGACAUCGUAGAAAUGGAGGGGAGUGAGGAAGCUGUUGUAGAUCGCUUUAAGUAUAUCCCAGACAACCUCUUUCUUGCUAGGGCGAGAAAUCUGGUAUCGAAGCUUGAUGUCCUUCCGAUGGCUGGGAGUGUCCAUUCUCAUGGAGUUGGUGGUAGUAUGGCUGAUUCGAAGGUUUACACACCUAUUGGAGGUCGAUCUGGGUCAGGUGGUCGUGGAGGAAGGGGAGGCAGAGGCCAAAAUCCUGUAGCCCUGAAUCCUGAGUUGAAUGUGGUUUCAGCUGUAGAAGAUUGAUCUUCAGAAGCCAGUGAUUGAAGAUGAAGAUGAUGAGGAUGAUGACGAUGAAGAUGAUGACAAAGAUGAAGAUGAUGUUGAAGGCAAGUGUACAGACAACACUGAAUUUGGCUUUAUGUUUUCUACUCAUAGCAAGUCAUUAUAUUGAAAUCUAUUAUAUGGCAUAUAUGGUUUUGGUUUUUGUCCCCUUCAUGUAUCUUAGUGGCAUUGUGUUAGUAGGUAAUUUUUAAUUGCCUUUUCUUUUUUGUUGGUGUGGUCAUUGUUGAACGUUAGGAAUUAUGGGGCCCAUUCUACAUGGAAUCUUGAAUUUGGAGCACCUCUUUUGGGGUGGUUUUCAUGGGAAGUCCUUUGUUAAGAGGCCUUCUAAUAAAAAGUCCUUGUGUUUAUAAUUUUCUUAGAAAAUAUUAUUAUUUUUGCUUGAGCUGCUUCAUAUGGUGUAAUAUUCAUCUUGACUUGACAGAGUAUAAUUUAUUUGGACUGUUAGUGAGAAAUACAUUUCUCUUGUUUUUGUUUUGUUUGGUUAAAUCGUAAGUGACCAUAAUGUUAUUUAUUUGUUGCGAUCAAUAUCAUGUUUUUAUCAUAAUUAGACCUGCUAACAAGGCCAUCACACAUCACACAACUGGUCAAUUUUUUCGAAUCAACGAAUUUCUGAUUGCAUUCACCUAAUCUCAAUUUUAAUUAUGUCAAAAAUUUUGCUUUCAAUCUGUGGUAAAAUAAGGGGUUAAGGCAGGUGCUAUCUACCUCAAAUGGGUUCAUUUUUUUCAUGUUUGAUAACUUGGACAAUAGUAGUGCUGUUUUACAGGAGGGCUCUUGGUUUUUUGGUGGUCAUUUCUUAGUUUUAAAGAAGUGGCAUAAUAUGAUGAAGCUUACAAAGGAGCAACUGGAUAAGAUUCCUAUUUGGAUCAAAUUAUUCAAUGUCCCAAUGGAAUACUGGAUCUCUUGAUCCCUUUUUGUUGUGUUGGUUAGAUUUAUUUUUUGAUGAUGUUAAAUCUCUGGCCUUGGUAUAAUGGUGUUAUGAACCAUAGUGGUGUUAUGAACCAUGUUUUGUAUAAUUGGUCUUCAAUUAACUAAUUAUGAUUAUCAGAUCAGUUCUGCAAAUCCAGAAAUGUGGCAUUUCUCAAACCCUUGUCUCUCUCUCUCUCUCCCCACCACCCCACCACCCAAAAGAGAUUAUUGUAGUUGGUGUAGAAAUGAUAUUGUUUCUCAAUUCAGAAUUGCAAAAAACACACACACACAAGAUACACAGAUAUUGAAUAGUGUAGACAAUUUUCAAGUGACUCAUUUAUUAUUGUCAGUUCAUUUUUUCUCAAUGUUGAAGAUUGCACACGAAAUGCAUGUCCAUGUUGACUCUUUCUUACCAUUUGAAUGUGUCCAACGGAUAGUGAAAUGGACUGCUGUACAUUCCCAUUUAUUUAGCAUCUUCUCCACCUGGGCAUUAAAUGUAUGUUAUUGGUGAUUUGUCUGACUGUUUAAACUAUCUGUGAGCAUUCAACUGUCUGACUAUUACUAUACAGCUUCUGAGUGUGGAAGAUCCGUGGACAUUGAUCAUUGAUGAUGCCCUGGCUAAUUCUUUUGUCGCACCGGCUAAAUGUUUGGAUUUCUGUUGUCCAGUUCACUCCUCAUCCGCAUGCAGGGGAUGCGGGGUGUAUCUAUCCAAGUUAUGAUUAUGCACAUUGCACUGUGGAUUCUAGUGAGAAUAUUACACAUUCGAUGGAUGAUGGAUGAUCUCAUGCACGAAACUAAAUUGUACAAGACUACUUGGCAGUAUAAGCAUUUUUGGGAGGAUCAAAUAUUUUUGGAUGGAUGUGUAUGGAUAACAAAUAUUAGUAGUUUUAUUUGUUGAUAGCUAUGCAUGGAUAACAAAUAGUUAUGUUUCAAAUUGUUAUGCUAGAUGGAUGUGACUUGUGAAUGAA